CCUACGGGUGGCAGCAGUGAGGAAUAUUGGUCAAUGGGCGCGAGCCUGAACCAGCCAAGUAGCGUGAAGGAUGACUGCCCUACGGGUUGUAAACAUCUUUUAUAAAGGGAUAAAGUGUGGCAUGAGUGCCUUUUUGUAUUUACUUUAUGAAUAGGGAUCGGCUAACUCCGUGCCAGCAGCUGCGGUAAUACGGAGGAUGCGAGCGUUAGGCGGAUUUAUUGGGUUUAAAGGGAGCGUAGAUGGGUCGUUAAGUCAGUUGUGAAAGUUUGGGGCUCAACCGGAAAAUUGCAAUUGAUACUGGCAGCCUUGAGUACAGUAGAGGUAGGCAGAAUUCGUGGUGUAGCGGUGAAAUGCUUAGAGAUCACGAAGAAGUCCGAUUGCGAAGGCAGCCUACUAGACUGCCACUGACAUUGAUGCUCGAAAGUGUGGGUAUCAAACAGGAUUAGAUACCCGAGUAGUC
This 460-nucleotide ribosomal RNA is filed under the name uncultured bacterium. RNAcentral's name for it is "partial 16S ribosomal RNA". It matches the Rfam family "Bacterial small subunit ribosomal RNA", at positions 338 to 795 of the family's 1533-position model. The record is from RNAcentral.